RNAcentral lists this ribosomal RNA (460 nucleotides) under uncultured bacterium. RNAcentral describes it as "partial 16S ribosomal RNA". It matches the Rfam family "Bacterial small subunit ribosomal RNA", at positions 338 to 795 of the family's 1533-position model. The record is from RNAcentral.
CCUACGGGAGGCAGCAGUGAGGAAUAUUGGUCAAUGGACGAGAGUCUGAACCAGCCAAGUAGCGUGAAGGAUGACUGCCCUAUGGGUUGUAAACUUCUUUUAUAUGGGAAUAAAACGUUCCACGUGUGGGAUUUUGUAUGUACCAUAUGAAUAAGGAUCGGCUAACUCCGUGCCAGCAGCCGCGGUAAUACGGAGGAUACGAGCGUUAUCCGGAUUUAUUGGGUUUAAAGGGAGCGUAGGUGGAUUGUUAAGUCAGUUGUGAAAGUUUGCGGCUCAACCGUAAAAUUGCAGUUGAAACUGGCAGUCUUGAGUGCAGUAGAGGUGGGCGGAAUUCGAGGUGUAGCGGUGAAAUGCGUAGAUAUCACGAAGAACUCCGAUGGCGAAGGCAGUUCACUGGACUGCAACUGACACUGAGGCUCGAAAGUGUGGGUAUCAAACAGGAUUAGAUACCCCAGUAGUC